UACGAAGGGGGCUAGCGUUGUUCGGAAUUACUGGGCGUAAAGCGCGUGUAGGCGGGUCUUUAAGUCAGGGGUGAAAUGCCAAGGCUCAACCUUGGAACUGCCUUUGAUACUGGAGAUCUUGAGUCCGGGAGAGGUGAGUGGAACUGCGAGUGUAGAGGUGAAAUUCGUAGAUAUUCGCAAGAACACCAGUGGCGAAGGCGACUCGCUGGACAAGUAUUGACGCUGAGGUGCGAAAGCGUGGGGAGCAAACAGG
RNAcentral lists this ribosomal RNA (253 nucleotides) under uncultured bacterium. RNAcentral's name for it is "partial 16S ribosomal RNA". It matches the Rfam family "Bacterial small subunit ribosomal RNA", at positions 524 to 776 of the family's 1533-position model. The record is from RNAcentral.